ACUCCACCGAGGUCGUCGCCUAAGCCGGAGGAGCCGCCAGUUUGGGCUCGGGGAGGGAGGCGGAGAGGGAGUGGCGGCCGCGGUGGAGCGGCGUGGGCUCCGCACCAGCAGCUCGGUGCCAGGCUCGGUACCUGGCAGGCCGGGCGCGCCUCGCAGGCCGCCCGGGGCGCGGAGGGUGUGAGCGCGCGCGCCCCCUCCGUGCCCGCUCAGCCUCGCGCGCGUCUCGGGGGAGGCUCCGCCGAGAGGCGCCCGGGGAGCCCGCAGCCUCAGUCCUGCCGCCGGCGGAGCUUUGUGCGGCGGCGGCUCCGAGUCCCACCUGCUGGCGGCGGAGAGACAAGGAAGAGGAAGAAGGAGGAGGAGGAGGGGAAAGAGGCGGCGGCGCCAGCCCACUCCUCUCGCCGGCGCCCACUCCCGGGGGCUCCGCAGCCCCCCGCUCUCGGCCUGCACCAGCUCCCCGCCCCCGGCCCGGCCCGGCCUCCCGGCCACACCGCGGCAGCCGCCGCUGCAGCCCCCAGCCUUGCCCGGCGGGGCCCGGCCCGGCCCGGCCCGGCCGCCGCCGCCGCCGCCGCCGCCCGGAGCCGCCGGCGAGUUUGAGGGGAGCGCGGGGCGCGCGGCGCCGCUUCAAUGUGCCCGGGAGCCGCCUCGGCGCCCCAGCCCCGCUGAACAGCCCCGGCGCGGCUGCCCUAGAGGACGAGCGAGGAGGCGCGGAGAGCCCCGGAGAAAGAGAGCCAGCGAGAAAGAGCGAGCCCGACAGCGAGCGCAGGGAGCGACACCAUGCCCGGCUGGAAGAAGAAUAUCCCUAUCUGCUUGCAGGCAGAGGAGCAGGAGAGAGAUAAGAAAAUGGAAUCACAGCAAAUAUAAGCAACAUACCCAGGAGCACGCAGCUGGCAAACAGCUGAGCUAGCACUUGGACUCAGGCAAACUGGCUCCCGAGCCUGCACGUGUAACCACUGUGUGACACUGCCUCUCAGAGCAGCUUCGUGUUGCCUUCGGAACAGGUCUUCGGAAGAGUGUCUGGAAAAUGCCUUGACACAUUCUAAUUAUUUGUUCCUUUAUCAUGGGAAUGUUUUUGAAAUCUUGGAACCAGAAAACUGCCAAGCUAUCUUCUUAAUUCUUGUUUCGUGACACUUAACUUCGAAUACAGAAUUUAUUAUGGCUGGUUAACUUAGAACUCUCUUGAUUCUAAAAACAGCUUCCUGACUUAUUCUUCAGUCUGCCAGAGCUGUUCUUUGCAGCAGUAUUUUAACCCCUUCACAUCUUUCUUUAUGUCACCAUGACAUUAACUUAUACCACAACCACAUCUCUGGAAGGGGUAGCCAUUCAUAUGCAAAAGCAUAUCACAGAUGACACCUUAGAAGCCCUUCUUGACUGGAUUCACAAAACACUGACAAAAACCCUCUUUUCUACAUCCAAUGGGGCAUUCAGGCCCACCAAAGUUUUUUUUUUUUUUUUCAAAUUCCUCAGAGGUAAUAUUCUCACAGUCACUCUGACUUUGACUUUCAGUUCCCAUUGAAGUGUUGAUCUCCCUUGCCAUCUGCUUCCCUAUGCUCCAUAGUGACCCAUACCUGGCUUCCUUCUCCUCCUAGACUUCCCUGUGGAUUGCACACACACAAGGCAUUUUUAGGUAUAACAGACUUUAUUGAAUGUUUGGGGCAACAGGGAUCAGUUAGCAGUUCCAUCACCACAACACAACCUCAAACUGAAUUUAGAAUUUUCUGUUUCUAAAUGUCCUCCAGUCAUCCCAUCACAGAAUUCUCUUAGGUCACCCUUGUAGCAAGCUCCAGUCUCUUGCAGCUUCAUCCUGCUCCAGUUCUAGCUAUACUUUAAAUACAGUUUUUCUCGCAUUUUAUGCACAGUUGUCUAGCUGGCAACUCCUUAUUUGACUUCAUGCCUGCCUUUGUCUAAAAAUUUGUUAAUAUCUUGCUAAACAAAAUGACCAUUGAUUCUUUACCAGUAUAGCAGAACUGGCAGUGACUUUUUUCUCAAUGACAGGAAUUUUAACUUUCCCCUCUGAUAUAAGAAGUGGCCAUAGUCAUUUUGAGUUUUAAACACAUUUAUUAUUUAGGCUAAACUAGUAACAAAAAUGUAUUAGUGUUGCUUUUAAAAAUAUGAUAAGAAACACAGUGUACUAUGGAGUGUAUAUAACUUCCUCAUCUUCUGGUAAAUGAACAUUAAUAUGAAAGUAAACCAGUACCACUGGUUACAUUAACUGCAGGAGGUAGUGGUGGGUCUGCGGCCAGCUUUACCUUUGGGGAGAAAUUCUUGAAUAAGGCAGUGGUUGCUAAUCAAAUCUCAUUUCUGCUUGUUAAUGGUGCCCAGUAGAGAACAUUACCCAUACCUCAGUACAGGGCUCAGGUAGAAACAAGGGGAGAGAAUGGAUCCAGACCAAGUGAGGCUGUGACAGUUGACUACUAUAAGGGUGCAUUAGUCUGUUCUCACACUGCUACAAGAGAUACCUGAGGCUGGGUAAUUUAUAAAGAAAAAGAGAUUUAGUGGACUGACAGUUUCACGUGGCUGGGAGGCCUCACAAUCAUGGUGGAAGGCAAAGGAGGAGCAAAGGCAUAUCUUACAUGGCAGCAGGCAAGAGAACGUGUGUAGGGGAACUGCCCUUUAUGAAACCAUCAGAUAUUGUGAGACUUAUUCACUAUCAUGAGAACAGCAUGGGAAAAACCCACCCCCUUGAUUCAAUUACCUCCCACCAGGUCCUUCCCAUGACAUGUGGGGAUUAUAGGAGCUACAAUUCAAGAUGAGAUUUGGGUGGGGACACAGCCAAACCAUAUCAAAGGGCAUCUGAACAAUCCACAGACCUAUCCCAAGAAUGGGUGUGGUGAAGGCAGUUCAUGGUAACAGAGGCUGACAAUCUGGCACAUGGUACCAGAGGCUGACAAUCUGGCACAUUGGGGGUUCCAGGUGGAGCACAGAGUGCAAAGUCAGGCAUAGCUAAUCCACAGCAGAGGCACCUGCUUCUUCACAGCAGCAUGGCAACCACUGACCGGAGGAUGGCAGCAAGACCCUGAGAGAGGGGCUUAGAUGGGUCUUUGGCUAGGGUUCUAGUCCUACAAGGAGUCAAAGUUAUUGGUCAGCAUGUCCACAAAGAUUAUGGAAAAAAAUGUUUCAACACAGUAACUGGAAAAGUUGCCAUUGGAAGGCCUGAGGGACCUCUACUGCUUGUCCCUUGCAGGGUCUGAUUGACAGCACAAUUUAAUUCCUAAGUCUGUGUAUGGGAGGCAGUUUGUGUCUUCUGAUCUAAUUCUUGCCAUUUUCAUGAUUAGCUCAGGAGCCUUGGCAGUCCUGGGCAUAUGAGGACCUUGGAAGGCAAAGUCAGGGAAAUGUGUCAGGGCCAGUGAUCAUAGAACAUCAUUCAGCACACACUGGGAUACAGAAGACCCUGGCUUUCCUCCUGGGGCAUAGGCAGCUAGAAGGAGCAUUGUUUCUAUUCUUAUAAUGCAAAAAUUAAAAAGUGUAUCAAACUAUAAGUUAUGAAUUGUCUGGAACUCAUAGAGGACCUUGGUUGUAGGACAACCAACUGACUCAGAAUCUAAGAAGAGAAUGGGGCCUCCAGAAAGAGACAAGACACACAUGCUGGCUUGGUAGGGGGUAGACGCUGUUGGGUAAAUUGAUGGAGGCUGAGAGUGAACUGAUAGGAAACUGAAGAACCUGAGGAGAGACAGAAUUGUGGGAGUGCGUGUACUCUCUAGGGCUUUCCUCCAUGAACCCCAAUGGGUACUUACAGAAGAUAUUGGAGAAAGACUUUUAAAUGUGUCCUUUCUGGAUAAAAUAAAACAGGAAAGGGAGGUACUUUAGUUGAAAGGCUGGACCUUAUGGAUGAGGAAGCAAGGCAUGUGGACUUUUGAGGGAUGAGCAUUCCAGGCAGAAGGAGCAGCAAGUACACAGGCCCUGAGUUGGGAGUGGCCUGGCUGGUGAGAGGAGUAGAAAGGAGACCAGUGUGGCUGGAGCUGGAUGAUCAGGGAGAAGAGGAAUAGAGAUGAAGCUAGAGCGGGAUCAGGGGCUGGGUUGUAUAGGGUCUUUGGGAUGACUGAAUGACAGACUUUGGCUUUUGGUUUGAGUAAGAUGCUGAAACCAUUGGAGGGUUUUGAAUAAGAGGUGAUUUAACAUGACCUUUGAUUUAAAAUGAUCUUGAAAAUAUUUGGCAAUUUCCAAUGAGGUUUAACGUACAUUAACCCUUUGACUCUGCAAUCACAUUGCUGGGUAUUUAUCCUAGAGAAAUAAGAAUGUAUGUUUGCACAAAAUCUUAUGUAUUCAUGUUCAUAAAAGCUUUAUUUGUAAUAGUCCCAAAUCAGAAAUAACCCCAAAUGUCUUUCAGUGCUCAAUGGGUAAAUGGAAAAACAAACUUUGGUAUAUCAGUAUGAUGGAAAACUACUCAAGAAUAAAAACAGCCUUGUGCAGUGGCUCACACCUGUAUUCCCAGCACUUUGGGAGGCCAAGGCAGGAGGAUUGCUUGAGCAUAGGAGUUCUAGAUUAGCUUGGGCAACAUGGUGAGACCCCAUCUCUAGCAGGAAAAAAAAUUAGUCGGGUGUGGUGGUGUAUACCUGUAGUUCCAGCUACUUAGGAGGCUGAGGUGGGAGGAUCUCUUGAGCCUGGGAGGCUGUGUGAAACAUGAUCGCACCACUGUACUCAGCCUGGGCAACAGAGCAGACUCUUUCUCAAAAAAUAAUAAAAAUAAAGAGAUAUCAAAUACAUUUAACAGCUUGCAUGGAUCUCAAGGACAUUAUGCUAACUGAAAAAAAAAGCCAAUUCCAAAAGGUUUUAUACUGUAUGGUUCCACUUAUAUAACAUGUUCAAAAUGGAAAAAUCAUAGUGAUGGAGAACAGAUCAGUGGUUGUUGGGGUUUAGGGUUGGGGAAGGGUAUACCUGUAAAUGAGUGGCAUAGGAUGUUUCUUUGUGGUGAUGGAACAGUUCUGCAUCCAUUUUGUUUUUUGUUUUUGUCUUUGUUUUGUUUUGUUUAUGAGGCAGCGUCUUGCUCUAUCACCUAGGCUGGACUGCAUUGGUGCUAUUUGGCUCACUGUAGCCUUGACCUCCUAGGCUCCAGCAAUCCUCCCGACUCAGCCUCCCAAGUAGCUCAGACCACAGGUGUGCACCACCAUACCUGGCUUAUUUAAAAUAAAAUGAAAUUUUUGUAGAGAUGGGGUCUCAUGUUGCCUAGGCUUGCCUCAAAGUUGUAGGCUCAAGCAGUCCUCCUGCCUUGGCCUCCCAAAAUGCAGGGAUUGCACGUGUGAGCUACCACAUCCAUUCCAGUUUUGUAUCCUGAUUGUAAUAAUGAUUGCACAAAUCCAUAUGUGUGAUAACAUUUCAUAGCAAAAAUGUGUAUAUAUGUGUAUAUAUAUAUAUAAGUGAGUAAAUGAAAAGAGUGGUAGACUCCUGAAAAGGUCUCUCAUUUAGAUAAAGUAUUGUACCAAUGCCAGCUGUGUGAUGUACUAUGGUUAUGUAACUUGCUCUCAUUGGUGAGACCUGGGAGAAGGAUACACAGAAUUUCUCUGUAUUGUUUUUGCCAUUUCUUGUGAGUCUAAAAUUAUUUCUAAAUAAAACAUUUUUUAAAAAAGGUUCUCUCUGGAAGUUAUGUUGAAUCAACACUGAAGGGACAAAGGGGAAGCAGGGAGACCAAUUAGGAGGCUGCUGUAGUCAUCCAGGUAAGAGAUGAUGGUGGCUGGGACCAAGGUGGAAUUGGUGAUGGAAUUCCUACCUGUCCCUUCCAGGCUGUGCAAUGGGACAACUUUAAGAGCCAGAGUCUCCAGCUGUCACUACCCUGUCACCAUCCCUACUAUCAUCUCUGGACCCCAUAUUUCACCUGUGCUCACCCUGACACCACUUCUGCCCUUGUGUCUCCUCACAGCAAGUGUGGGUGCUACUUCCCCUGAGAUGCCAUGAGUUUCUUUUUCCUUAUUGCCAGGAUUGCCCUGAGCCAUCACAGGCCCUUGAUUUUUACUAUCUAAGCUGUAUUUCCUCUGCCCAUCCAUUAGGAAGAAGAUUGCUGUCUGGUUUGAACUGGAAUUUCUCGCUAUGUCCCACUGGAGCAAUUACUUGAUGAUGCACGUGUCAAGAGUCAUUCUACAUGCUGGAGAUACCGUGGUACAGAAGACAGAGGAGGUCCUUGCCCUAGUGGAGUCAGCAAGCUAAAAAGAAAACAGAAAAACUAGUGGCAAGUACAAUGAAGAAAACCAGAUCAAAGUUUUGGGAUGGAGUGGUGGAGGUGUUGAGAAGGGUGAGCGUUUGAGAUACAGUGUUCCUUCUUGGAGAACAGGAUGUUGGGAUGACCCUGAUUGAAGAGAUGGAGUCAUUGUAUAAUCUGGAUAGGAGGCUGGGGCAUAAAGCCUCCAGAGAUAAAAGUGUAUUCAUUCUAAUACAGUACUUCCCUUGCCAUCUUCUGGAUGGCUUGUUUCUUUGACAUUCAUUUGUUAAAUCAGUUUUUUUUUUUAAUUCCGAAUCCAUUUUUUCCUAGGAAUAAUGCACUCAGAAUAGGAAAAAUGUAGAUUUAAAACCAGGCCUAAUCAUAAAGUCUUUUUGCAAUAUGUCACUAACAGGUAAAAGACGACUGUGGCCAAAGGGGACAUAGUUACUGGAGAAAACCUUUAUUUUGCAGGACUGCUGUUGCUAUUCACAUAGAGGAGUCUUCUGUUAGUAUACUAUUGCAAAGUUAGGGAUUGUCUAAAGUGGGGGUGGUGAUUUGGGGGUAUGAAAAGAUGGUUUGCUCUGUCUGUAGAAUAGUGUUAGUAAGUGUGUCAUAAUCUUCUCUGUAUUUGGAUCCUAAACAUCCAUUGAGCAUGAUUCUUAAGCUAAAAGUACACUUACCAUGUCAUCAGAGGAUACUAAAAUGUAUGAUUGCUUUAUAGUCGUUGUUUGUUUUCUGUAGAACAAAAUUAUUUUAUGCUUCUCCCUAGUCUUUCAAGUGCACUCCAUUAUAAAGAUUCUUAAUGGCUUUUGUAUGUCCAAGGAAAGAUUAUAUGUCAAAGAAAUUAUUUCCAGAAAGUGCACAAAGUUGUACAGGGUCUUUCAGGUUACAGCCCACAGCAUCACCAUCUUCUGUGCUUUGUGGAGAAUUAGACCCUUUAUAUUGCUAUUGUAGAUUAUGUUACUAUCAAUAGAUAAACAGGGAAUUGUAUGUUGCUUGUUGGAAUAAGUUAUUUUCUACAUAACUUACUAUGUGUUAAAUAUGAUUCAGAGGAUUGGACUUUUAUGUUUAAAAAUAAAUUUAAUGUAAGAUGAAAUUCCUGUUUUCUGAUAAUUAUCUGAACUGCUUUUCACGAUUGAGUCUAGCCAACAAACUUAAAAUUUAUGUGUAGUUUCAGAACAGUGGCAAACAUUUUGUGAAAACAGGUGCUUUUGAUUACUGCUAAGCUGGUCUUAUGUUUUCACAUUGUGCUUCUGCUGGCAGUAGUAUGUGGUUCCUGAAUUUUCAGGUGCAGAAAAUAACAUUUGAUUUGUGAAGCCCCAUUUUUGAGAUAAAACUAGGCACAUGUCAAAUGUAAGCAAUAUGGAAUGUGACGCCAACAGUGGCAUCCUUGCUGAUUCUAAAAAUUGGAUAUAGGUUAACAAAUUGCUGUAGUGGAAAGUUUUACAAAUGAUUACAGCUCUGGUUAAUACUUGUUUUUGUAAACUGUAAUCUGCCUGCAAAAAAUUAACUUCUGCAAGUAUUUUGAAGACAUGAAUAUGAACUUAUACCUUUAAAAACUUUGCUCAGUACAUUUCACCCUGCUUAUAAUCGUGAUCACUUUUAGGGGAACAGCUGUUAAAAUUUAGGGUGAGAUGUACGGGUGCUCAGCAGUUGGUUGUAAAUUUCCACUUUAUGGAUUUACAGUGGUCUUUCAUUAUUGAAGUAGAAUUGGGGAAUCCCCAUCACCUUAAAACUGUUAUUUAUGGCUGGUUUUAUCUACCAAUGCCAAGUUUUCAUGAUUUAUAGGAACAAACACCUCUCUCUUUUAUUCUUAAAAAUUCCAAAUCUUCUGUGUAAUGGUGUUUUUAGCACUAUUUGGAAGAUGAUCAGGCAUAAAAGGAAUUUUAAACCUAAGAACUGUUGGGAUCUUCCAAUCCAGCCCUCUGAUUUUACAUAAAUUUAAUAUCUCUAACAACAGAGUAAUUUGCUCAGUAAUUGUUUAAGGCUUAAAGAGAGAAAAUGUCUAACUCAAGAUUACACAGCUCAGAAUAGAAGUAACGUAAGUAUUUAAGUCUGUGAACUUGGUGUAUUUUUAAUCGUAUCCUCCCCCAUACACUUCCCAUUGCUUCAAACACUGCCUUCAUGUGAAAUUUCCCACAACCCUGCUCACUCUCCCAAGGGUUAGCCCUGGAGCCCCUGUGUAUGUGAAUGGCACCCCCAAUUACUCCAUCGUUUUGUGAUUACUUACAUACAGUGUCCUUUUGUGAGUGCCAUAUCCUCAUCUUUGUAUUCCAGCAUCUAAGACAGUGCCUGGACCAUCUAUAGAUGUUUCUGUCUUAAAAAGCUGUGAAGAAGACUGAUUCCCAUAAGCCACCCACAGAAACCUAUCUCAUUACUUUGUAGUCACUAUUCGUGUAUUUGAAAUGAUUAGGAAGUUUAGAAAACCAUACUCUGGCUGUAAGAAUCUUAGUUUGCCAUAUCAAUGAUUCCGAUGCUAUUCCUCUCCAUCUACUACUCUGUGUAGCACAGGAAAACACAGCUCCUGCAACAGAUGUUUUGAGAAUCCAAAUGCAAGGAAAAUAGAAGGGGAAAGCAGUGUUUAUACUUUAUAAGAUUCUUAUAGACCUACCUUUUUCUUUUCAACACAUGCUACGAAGUUUAUUAUGCUUGAUCUCCUGAGAUCAGUGCAUGCUAGGCCCUAUGCUUCGUAAUUUAUGUGCAUUAGCUCAUUUAAUCCACACAACUCCAUGAGACUAAUACUAUUAUCUUUAUUUUCCAGAUAAAACUUGAGCCAAAUGAGCUUAAUUUUCUCAAUGUUACACAAUUGUCGGUAUGUUAGCUAUUAUCAGCCAAUAUGCAUUAAGCACUACUAUGUGCUGAGAGCCAUGGCAGGAAUAUCCCAGCUCCCAACUGCAGUGCUGUGUGCCAUCCUUCCCCAUGCUGCCAGUCAACUGUGCCUUCAUGAUGGCAGCCUCCAUCCUCGUGAUGGGUUGAUAAACUCCUGAGUCAGCUUGGAUAUAAUUCCACGGCUCCAAAAGGAGAAAAAGCAGCAAACGCAACAUGCUGUUAUGACUAACCAUUUUUGUAAUGAGGUGAAUGUUCUUCUCAGUACGUUCAUUCAAUUAUUUUGUAUUCAAUUAUACUUUGAAUAGGAGAAUUUACCUUACACUCUAGUGUGACUUUGUUGUUGUUGUUUUUUUUCCCACUGAAUCUGAAAUUAGGGACUGAUGUAUGUAAUUCACAGCAUACUUGGACUGGAAGAAAAUUUAUCACCAAGGUGAGCAAACAGAUCCAGUUUAGAGUUGGGACCUUGACUCAGCUUUGUGUAUAAUCCCUCAGCAACGUAGUACAAGAGCAGGAGGGCUGUGACAUUGUCCUGUGUCAUGUCCAGCCAUCACAAUAUUUGAAUAUGAAUGCAUUUUGUGUCUGUAAUACCUAGAACUCAAAUUGUGAAAAGUGGAACAGUAAAAAACCAAUGCAUCUAUAUAAACAAAAAUGUGAAUGUGGGUAUAAAACUUUCAUAAGAUCAGAGAGUUCUCUGAGGAAUUCCAAAUAAAUCUAGAAUUCAUGAGAAUUGGAAAACUAUAUAGGAA
Molecule: long non-coding RNA, 9702 nt
Filed under: Homo sapiens (human)
Lineage: Eukaryota; Metazoa; Chordata; Mammalia; Primates; Hominidae
Description: non-protein coding lnc-GRIP1-1:6
Source: RNAcentral